This is a small nuclear RNA of Cebus imitator (Panamanian white-faced capuchin), 106 nucleotides long. NCBI's taxonomy places the organism in Eukaryota, Metazoa, Chordata, Mammalia, Primates, Cebidae. The record is from RefSeq and is a predicted model, not a curated record.
AUGCUUGCUUCAGCAGCACAUAUACAAAAAAAUUGGAAUAAUAAAGAGAUUAGCACGGCACUUGUGCAAGUAUAACAUGCAAAUUUGUGAAGCAUGCCAUAAUUUU